UCAUUUCUUACGAUAAUAAAAAAUUAAAUAUCAAAAGACAAAUGAACGAUAAAAUUGUUUACCUCAUCCAUGCACUUUAAAUUGGAUUUAAAAGAAGGAGAAAAGUGGGAAAAAAUUGCACUUUUUGUCAGACGUUAGACCCUAUUGAGAACGGGAUAUUUUUCUGUCUGAGCGGCGCUGGGAAUAGGACGGACGGAAAGCUUUUCUGAGAGGCCAACUGGAGUGCCUUCACCGGUCUGGAAGGAAUUCAGAGGGGAUCGCUCCUCUGGGCAGAACUGGAUCCGUUCUAACAACAACAUGGAGGAUUCCAACCUCGAGAUAAACACUGAUGUUCUGAAUCUGAGAAGUUAAGGGGGGGAUUCAGGAGGGAGGGGAAGUGGGAUCUGUGUUUUUGCUCUGUUCUGGUCUUGUUUUUUCCCAGAUUGGGCUGUUUUGUUGCCCUAAGGACAUUGAGCAUUUUCUCAGAAUGUCUUUGAUCUAAAGAGGUGCAUUGCUACCCCUUGUCCUCCCAAACCAACAUCUCACCCCUCCUAAAACAUUUUAUUUGGAUCAUCUUUCAUCAGCGCCUCUGGAUUACAGCCCGCCCCCCUGGGUCUGAUUAUUGCUUUUUGUUCUUUGACAGACAGCUGUUUGGACCAGUUGGAUUCUUACUGUGUAUUUGUUUCCUGAACGUAAAAAUGAGAGCAAAGGAGUAUGGGAUUUAUUUGAGCACAACUGUGCACAACUGCGGAGAGAUGGAUAUGUAACAAAAAACAAUGACAACGACAUCAAAAUAAACAAGAGAAAACAUGUUGGACAUUAUUCAAUCAUCGAUCACCACGCUGCCCCCGUCUAUCAUCAACAGGAUUCCUCCCUCUCUCCCCAUGACCAGAAUCCCUCCUCUUCUCCUUGGAGUCUCCUCCAACUCCAAGAUGAGAAAUCCAUCUCUCCAUGUCUGGCACAUCUCGUUGUUCGCCGUCGCUGCGUUUUUCAGAACGGACAAACAGACUAGCGCUCCAUGACCACCACCAACAGCUUACAGAAACGAUAGGAAUGAUUCAGCAACACUUAAAAAACAUACAAAUAAUGUAAUAUAAACUAGAUCCGCCUCCAGCAGAUGAUGUAGUUGUUUUAUGAAUUUUGAAGUUGACUCUCCUUUGUGUUUUUGGGUAGCAUGUAAAGUGAGUGUAUGGUAACAGAGAUCAUGUGGUAGUGUGAUGAGUGUGCACCAUGUGUGUUUGAGUGAGUGAGUGAAAGACUGUGUGUGUGUGUGUGUGUGUGUGUGUGUGUGUGUGUGUGUGUGUGUGUGUGUGUGUGUGUGUGUGUGUGUGUGUGUGUGUGUGUGUGUGUGUGUGUGUGUGUGUGUGUGUGUGUGUGUGUGUCUGUAUGACUGUCUAUGAUGUCUUCAAAGUACUAUCGAUAGUUGUCUGUUUUUAUGCCAGAUUUGUUUUUGGAAUUUCAUUAAUUGCUUAGUAACUACAAAAACAAUGUAAAGUGUGCCACUACUCGAGCUUUGUCAAUCCUCUUCAGCAACAGCAGUUAAAGAGGUUUGCAGUUUU
RNAcentral lists this long non-coding RNA (1538 nucleotides) under Oncorhynchus mykiss (rainbow trout). Its description in RNAcentral is "lncRNA (ENSOMYG00000064020.1)". The record is from RNAcentral. Lineage: Eukaryota; Metazoa; Chordata; Actinopteri; Salmoniformes; Salmonidae.